GCGCCGUCUGAAGAAUCGCUGUCGCAGCCCACGCACAGAGAGGUUCAUCACCUCUCCUCCUCCAGCUGUGGGGAAAGUCCCCGGAGACGCAGAAUGCACGCCUCGUCCCCCUCACGGAAAGCGGCCGCCCCCAAGCACGGCGGGACCGGACGAGGCCGGAGGGAAUGCUCUGUCUGCGCUCGCAGCUAGCUCUCUCCCGUCUGCCGCACGACCCGCGGAUGCGCACCCGGUGACGGCGCCGGGGCGCGAAGAUACGAGCGUCCUGGUUGCUCGGGUGCGUGCUGCGCGGGCGGGCGAUUCGUUGCUCAUAGACACAGUUAUGCGAUUGCGGGUCCCUCGCGACUCGUCAACGGAAUGGGGCUUACUCUCAUUCGGCG
The sequence is an RNase MRP RNA, 377 nucleotides long. It matches the Rfam family "RNase MRP". From Rfam's summary of the family: RNase MRP is an enzymatically active ribonucleoprotein with two distinct roles in eukaryotes.